UCGGCCACACUCGCAUCGGUCCCUGUGAGAAAACAACCCUAGGGCCCUCGGGGGGCCAAAAAAUCACGGAAAAACGGAGCUUACCGGCGGUGGCGCUCUCGGGUGCGGCGGCUCUCCGGCGAGGUUCGUGUUUUGGUGAUUCGGCUCCGGUCAACCUGUAGAGAAAAGAAUGGUGAUCACGGUGAUAUAAAAAUUGCAUCAAACGG
This 206-nucleotide long non-coding RNA is filed under the name Carica papaya (papaya). Its description in RNAcentral is "long non-coding RNA (CPAP_LNC010365)". The record is from RNAcentral. Lineage: Eukaryota; Viridiplantae; Streptophyta; Magnoliopsida; Brassicales; Caricaceae.